RNAcentral lists this small RNA (164 nucleotides) under Pteridomonas danica. RNAcentral's name for it is "partial transfer-messenger RNA". The record is from RNAcentral. Lineage: Eukaryota; Dictyochophyceae; Pedinellales.
UCAAAAUUAUAAAUGCAAAAAAUAGAUGUAGAGUCUUUUUGUUUUUCUGUGUUUUUUUUGAACGAUGCUUUUCAUUUUCUUUGACUUUUUGGUCUGUAUGAUUGAAUCUUUAACCAAUGGGUUAUUGGUUUUUCGUUGUUUGUGACAAAUUAGAAACAUAAUAA